AUUGAACGCUGGAGGCAGGCUUAACACAUGCAAGUCGAACGGUAACAGGGUGCUUGCACCGCUGACGAGUGGCGAACGGGUGAGUAAUGCGUCGGAACGUGCCGAGUAGUGGGGGAUAACGCAGCGAAAGUUGUGCUAAUACCGCAUACGUACUGAGGUAGAAAGUGGGGGACCUUCGGGCCUCACGCUAUUCGAGCGGCCGACGUCUGAUUAGCUAGUAGGUGAGGUAAAGGCUCACCUAGGCGACGAUCAGUAGCGGUUCUGAGAGGAUGAUCCGCCACACUGGGACUGAGACACGGCCCAGACUCCUGCGGGAGGCAGCAGUGGGGAAUUUUGGACAAUGGGCGAAAGCCUGAUCCAGCCAUGCCGCGUGUCUGAAGAAGGCCUUCGGGUUGUAAAGGACUUUUGUCAGGGAGGAAAUCCCUAGUGCUAAUAACACUGGGGGAUGACAGUACCUGAAGAAUAAGCACCGGCUAACUACGUGCCAGCCGCCGCAGUAA
This 500-nucleotide ribosomal RNA is filed under the name uncultured bacterium. RNAcentral describes it as "partial 16S ribosomal RNA". It matches the Rfam family "Bacterial small subunit ribosomal RNA", at positions 30 to 523 of the family's 1533-position model. The record is from RNAcentral.